UGACCAUUACAAUUGGGCUGCGCUACCUAC
RNAcentral lists this non-coding RNA (30 nucleotides) under Homo sapiens (human). The record is from RNAcentral. Lineage: Eukaryota; Metazoa; Chordata; Mammalia; Primates; Hominidae.